Molecule: ribosomal RNA, 253 nt
Filed under: uncultured bacterium
Lineage: Bacteria
Description: partial 16S ribosomal RNA
Rfam family: Bacterial small subunit ribosomal RNA
Source: RNAcentral
UACGUAGGGCGCAAGCGUUAUCCGGAAUUAUUGGGCGUAAAGAGCUUGUAGGCGGUCUGUCGCGUCUGCUGUGAAAAUCCGGGGCUCAACCCCGGACUUGCAGUGGGUACGGGCAGACUAGAGUGUGGUAGGGGAGACUGGAAUUCCUGGUGUAGCGGUGAAAUGCGCAGAUAUCAGGAGGAACACCGGUGGCGAAGGCGGGUCUCUGGGCAAUAACUGACGCUGAGGAGCGAAAGCGUGGGGAGCGAACAGG